RNAcentral lists this long non-coding RNA (304 nucleotides) under Serinus canaria (Common canary). Its description in RNAcentral is "lncRNA (ENSSCAG00000007854.1)". The record is from RNAcentral. Lineage: Eukaryota; Metazoa; Chordata; Aves; Passeriformes; Fringillidae.
CUUUUAUGCUCCAGGAUCUUCGCUUCAGGGUUUUUUGCUGUUGUCAGCAAUGCAGUUCUUGUUACUGGACCUGAACAAGAGAAUGUCUGAGCAUCAACACCUUUUCUUCAGCUGGUGGCAAAGCUGACCUUCCCAUGUUGCUCUGGUGAUGCCUGAAAGCUGAUGUUUCUGACUUUCCUGGGAAGACCAGGAGGGAUGCUUCACAAUGAGCUGGCAGUGUACUGGCAUCUUCACAGGUCACCAGAUGUUGCUCUUCCCGGUGUUGCUACAGCCUCUCUUGAGUGCCCUUUCCCUCUUGUUCAUC